UACGGAGGGUGCGAGCGUUAAUCGGAAUUACUGGGCGUAAAGCGUGCGUAGGUGGUUCGUUAAGUCAGAUGUGAAAGCCCUGGGCUCAACCUGGGAACUGCAUUUGAAACUGGCGGACUAGAGUUUGGUAGAGGGGAGUGGAAUUUCAGGUGUAGCGGUGAAAUGCGUAGAUAUCUGAAGGAACACCAGUGGCGAAGGCGACUCCCUGGACUAAAACUGACGCUGAGGUACGAAAGCGUGGGUAGCAAACAGG
RNAcentral lists this ribosomal RNA (253 nucleotides) under uncultured Methylobacter sp. RNAcentral describes it as "partial 16S ribosomal RNA". It matches the Rfam family "Bacterial small subunit ribosomal RNA", at positions 524 to 776 of the family's 1533-position model. Lineage: Bacteria; Pseudomonadati; Pseudomonadota; Gammaproteobacteria; Methylococcales; Methylococcaceae. The record is from RNAcentral.